UCUAAUAUAUCUUUUUGAAACAGUAUGUGGAUGGGGGCCGUGGAGAUCUCAGUCCCUGAAGAACAGGAAGCUCUGACAACAUGGUGCCCAAAACCACAGGUAACUCACUGGAGUGAGAAACAGAGAGCAGAAGAAAUAGGAAAAGGAUCUCAUGGGGGAACGAGUCUACUGCAUUUCUGCGUUCGAGAAACAGGCCGACGGCAUUCCUCAGCGUCUGAGAAAACCGGACGUUUGCUCCAUCUCUUUCCCCCCCCUCCUCUCCCUCAGUCUCUAUGCUGUCGUCUUUCAAGUGGGUUUUAUCCCCUCCUGUGGAGCGGGUCAUGUGUCUGGCUGCCAGAGAGAGCCAUGUGACGUUAAUCCAACGUCCUCAUCCACCCCCCGCCCCCCCAACCCCCUUCCCACUCACCACCACACAAUCCACCCCCCCAGCUCAGAGAGGAGGGGGGCUGAGGUCUCAAAGUUAUGUGGGAUUUAUGUGGCCACAAGGAUAGUUAAGUGUUUAUUUGUUUAUUAAUUUACCCAUUUUAAUGAUCUAUCAUGUGGCCUCAUUUGGAGAUGAUCUGUGUUCUGUCACAUAGCAGGGACAUCUCGUCGAGCUCCAGUGAUAUACCAGCUCAAUACUACGGGAACGUCCUCCAGGGUGAACUCAGGUUGUGGAGGACUGUAACACGCAACCCCCCUCAAACCCGCAGCCAGCAGCGGCGCACUGAUCGAUCCGCAUUGAGCUGUUCCACUUUCCAGCCAAUGCACGCGCGCCCGUCUCGAUUGGGAAGGAGCCCGAAACGGAGGAAAAUUUCUGCCGCCCUGGCGGUGUCACUUCCCCACACUUCAGCUGGCCGCCUGCCAGACACACAGGACGCUCACAAGAGGUGGAGUGGACUCGAAGCGACGAGGAGCGACUGGACGGACGGACAAAUGGACCCACAGCAAAAUGGCUCUUCGGUCACAGAGAAAGUCAUCAACACAGAAACACGACGAUUAUGGUAACAAGUCCAGUCCCUUUGAUUUCUGCAAAAAGAUUAAUAACUCUUUAUAUGC
This 1038-nucleotide long non-coding RNA is filed under the name Sinocyclocheilus anshuiensis. RNAcentral describes it as "lncRNA (ENSSANG00000025780.1)". Lineage: Eukaryota; Metazoa; Chordata; Actinopteri; Cypriniformes; Cyprinidae. The record is from RNAcentral.